AGAUGAGAGGGAUUGUUGUGAUUGUGUUGGCUGUCAGCUUAGGACUUAGCGUGCUAUUGGUUAACAACAGCGACCAGCUAUUUGAGAUAAGCCGUUCAGAUGAUCCAGUUUAUGAACGUGAGACAGCUGCCCCCAGUAUAGAUGGACCAUCCCUCACUAUUGUGACGAUGUUUCUACGUCUCGGUUCCCUACAAAAAGGUUUUAGUGGCUUGUACAACACACACGAGAAGUACACACAGUGGAUGGUCACGUGGGGAUGGCUGACCAAUCACGUCGUGGCUUUUGUUGAAGACGAGGAAACGCUUCAAUA
Molecule: long non-coding RNA, 310 nt
Organism: Physella acuta
Lineage: Eukaryota; Metazoa; Mollusca; Gastropoda; Physidae
Source: RefSeq, a predicted model, not a curated record